UACGGAAGGCAGCAGUGGGGAAUAUUGGACAAUGGGCGAAAGCCUGAUCCAGCCAUGCCGCGUGUGUGAAGAAGGUCUUCGGAUUGUAAAGCACUUUAAGUUGGAGGAAGGGCAGUAAAUUAAUACUUUGCUGUUUUGACGUUACCGACAGAAUAAGCACCGGCUAACUCUGUGCCAGCAGCCGCGGUAAUACAGAGGGUGCAAGCGUUAAUCGGAAUUACUGGGCGUAAAGCGCGCGUAGGUGGUUCGUUAAGUUGGAUGUGAAAUCCCCGGGCUCAACCUGGGAACUGCAUUCAAAACUGACGAGCUAGAGUAUGGUAGAGGGUGUGGAAUUUUCCUGUGUAGCGGUGAAAUGCGUAGAUAUAGGAAGGAACACCAGUGGCGAAGGCGACCACCUGGGACUGAUACUGACACUGAGGUGCGAAAGCGUGGGGAGCAAACGAGGAUUAGGAUACC
RNAcentral lists this ribosomal RNA (456 nucleotides) under uncultured bacterium. RNAcentral's name for it is "bacterial SSU rRNA". It matches the Rfam family "Bacterial small subunit ribosomal RNA", at positions 340 to 786 of the family's 1533-position model. The record is from RNAcentral.